This 399-nucleotide ribosomal RNA is filed under the name uncultured bacterium. Its description in RNAcentral is "bacterial SSU rRNA". It matches the Rfam family "Bacterial small subunit ribosomal RNA", at positions 357 to 773 of the family's 1533-position model. The record is from RNAcentral.
GGGAAUCUUGCGCAAUGGGCGAAAGCCUGACGCAGCCAUGCCGCGUGGAUGAUGAGGGUCUUAGGAUUGUAAAAUCCUUUCAGCGGGGACGAUAAUGACGGUACCCGCAGAAGAAGCCCCGGCUAACUUCGUGCCAGCAGCCGCGGUAAUACGAAGGGGGCUAGCGUUGCUCGGAAUUACUGGGCGUAAAGGGCGCGUAGGCGGACAGUUAAGUCGGGGGUGAAAGCCCGGGGCUCAACCUCGGAAUUGCCUUCGAUACUGGCUGUCUUGAGUGUGAGAGAGGUGUGUGGAACUCCGAGUGUAGAGGUGAAAUUCGUAGAUAUUCGGAAGAACACCAGUGGCGAAGGCGACACACUGGCUCACUACUGACGCUGAGGCGCGAAAGCGUGGGGAGCAAAC